This 839-nucleotide ribosomal RNA is filed under the name Escherichia coli. RNAcentral describes it as "partial 23S ribosomal RNA". It matches the Rfam family "Bacterial large subunit ribosomal RNA", at positions 418 to 1256 of the family's 2925-position model. Lineage: Bacteria; Pseudomonadati; Pseudomonadota; Gammaproteobacteria; Enterobacterales; Enterobacteriaceae. The record is from RNAcentral.
CGGGACACGUGGUAUCCUGUCUGAAUAUGGGGGGACCAUCCUCCAAGGCUAAAUACUCCUGACUGACCGAUAGUGAACCAGUACCGUGAGGGAAAGGCGAAAAGAACCCCGGCGAGGGGAGUGAAAAAGAACCUGAAACCGUGUACGUACAAGCAGUGGGAGCACGCUUAGGCGUGUGACUGCGUACCUUUUGUAUAAUGGGUCAGCGACUUAUAUUCUGUAGCAAGGUUAACCGAAUAGGGGAGCCGAAGGGAAACCGAGUCUUAACUGGGCGUUAAGUUGCAGGGUAUAGACCCGAAACCCGGUGAUCUAGCCAUGGGCAGGUUGAAGGUUGGGUAACACUAACUGGAGGACCGAACCGACUAAUGUUGAAAAAUUAGCGGAUGACUUGUGGCUGGGGGUGAAAGGCCAAUCAAACCGGGAGAUAGCUGGUUCUCCCCGAAAGCUAUUUAGGUAGCGCCUCGUGAAUUCAUCUCCGGGGGUAGAGCACUGUUUCGGCAAGGGGGUCAUCCCGACUUACCAACCCGAUGCAAACUGCGAAUACCGGAGAAUGUUAUCACGGGAGACACACGGCGGGUGCUAACGUCCGUCGUGAAGAGGGAAACAACCCAGACCGCCAGCUAAGGUCCCAAAGUCAUGGUUAAGUGGGAAACGAUGUGGGAAGGCCCAGACAGCCAGGAUGUUGGCUUAGAAGCAGCCAUCAUUUAAAGAAAGCGUAAUAGCUCACUGGUCGAGUCGGCCUGCGCGGAAGAUGUAACGGGGCUAAACCAUGCACCGAAGCUGCGGCAGCGACGCUGAUGCGUUGUUGGGUAGGGGAGCGUUCUGUAAGCCUGUGAAGG